RNAcentral lists this transfer RNA (76 nucleotides) under Erysipelotrichaceae bacterium. RNAcentral describes it as "tRNA-Ala". It matches the Rfam family "tRNA". From Rfam's summary of the family: Transfer RNA (tRNA) molecules are approximately 80 nucleotides in length. Their secondary structure includes four short double-helical elements and three loops (D, anti-codon, and T loops). Further hydrogen bonds mediate the characteristic L-shaped molecular structure. tRNAs have two regions of fundamental functional importance: the anti-codon, which is responsible for specific mRNA codon recognition, and the 3' end, to which the tRNAs corresponding amino acid is attached (by aminoacyl-tRNA synthetases). tRNAs cope with the degeneracy of the genetic code in two manners: having more than one tRNA (with a specific anti-codon) for a particular amino acid; and 'wobble' base-pairing, i.e. permitting non-standard base-pairing at the 3rd anti-codon position. The record is from RNAcentral. Lineage: Bacteria; Bacillati; Bacillota; Erysipelotrichia; Erysipelotrichales; Erysipelotrichaceae.
GGGGUCGUAGCUCACCUGGGAGAGCGCAUCGCUGGCAGCGAUGAGGUAGAGAGUUCGAGUCUCUUCGGCUCCACCA